RNAcentral lists this long non-coding RNA (224 nucleotides) under Homo sapiens (human). Its description in RNAcentral is "HSALNT0075208". The record is from RNAcentral. Lineage: Eukaryota; Metazoa; Chordata; Mammalia; Primates; Hominidae.
CAGGACCAGAACAGAAACGCAUGCCUGUAAUAAGUGAGACAUUAGCAGCCUACAAACAUUGAUAUUGUGAGAAAAGAGUGUCACAGCUCUUAAUAACCUAUAGGUAAUCAACACAACAGGACAACAAUACAAGAAUCUAUCUGUGGAUUCCCGUUGGUACGGAAUCUACUGGAACCUGAUGAGUUCAACUGUGAUUUUGGCUUAUAACUCAGGAUUAAUGAUAA